UGACAGCGAUUUUCUUUUCAUAGCCAUCGCUGACGCUUUUUUUUCGAUCAUACGUAUAAGUUAGGUUAGGUUAACGCACUUGUUUUUUUUUACGUUUUUGGUAUCAAGUUUUAUGCUUUUCGAAUGAGAUUUUAAUGAAUGUAAAUCUUUUAGCCAACUAAAAAUUGAAGUAGAUAAAACAUGGAUAAAACCAGGGGAUACGAGUAUAUCAAUCUAAUGAUAAAAUCGAUUACAAAUAAUAUUCAGUAUUAUAUAUUCUCAAUAAUAUUUUUUUAAUGAUAUAAUCAUUUGAAAUGUUUAAAAUAAGAACAUAAAGGGGCCUCAAAUUACUGUCACAAGAGAAAUGAUUGGAUAUAGAUUUCAAAACUUUAGCGAAAAGGAAUUUGAAAUCAUAAAUAAGACAAUUCAACAUGCGAAGACAAAAUAUGAAAGAUCCAAAAAAUCAAUUAAAAUAUAAGUUUGCUUUUCCUUGUACAUAUAUUUAAUGUUAUACUUUCCUUUUGUAUUUUUGAAUAAGAAAUAUAUAAUAAUGUUUAUACUGUACCAAUA
Long non-coding RNA from Sitophilus oryzae (rice weevil), 549 nucleotides. RefSeq lists it as uncharacterized. Lineage: Eukaryota; Metazoa; Arthropoda; Insecta; Coleoptera; Curculionidae. The record is from RefSeq and is a predicted model, not a curated record. The transcript has 3 exons.